CUUGUUCCCUAAAUAGAAACUAGUAUGAAUGGCACCACGAGGGCUAUACUGUCUCCUCUCUCCAAUCAGUGAAAUUAAUAUCCCCGUGAAGAAGCGGGGAUGAAAAUAUAAGACGAGAAGACCCUGUGGAGCUUUAAACAAUAUAGAAUCUGUUACACUACACUUAAACCCUCUGCGUCUUUACCUCUCCUGACAGAAUUACUAUGCGUUUUCGGUUGGGGUGACCAUGGAACAUAAUAUAACCUCCAUGUUGAAUUUCUCAAGCUAAGAGCUACUCUUCUAAGCAUCUUCACAAUGACAUCCAUUGACCCAAUAUAUUUGAACAACGAACCAAGUUACCCCAGGGAUAACAGCGCAAUCCACUUCAAAAGCUCCUAUCGACAAGUGGGUUUACGACCUCGAUGUUGGAUCAGGGCUUCCCAGUGGCGCAGCCGCUACUAAAGGUUCGUUUGUUCAACGAUUAAAACCCU
This 470-nucleotide ribosomal RNA is filed under the name Parapelophryne scalpta (Hainan little toad). Its description in RNAcentral is "partial 16S ribosomal RNA". It matches the Rfam family "Bacterial large subunit ribosomal RNA", at positions 1968 to 2597 of the family's 2925-position model. Lineage: Eukaryota; Metazoa; Chordata; Amphibia; Anura; Bufonidae. The record is from RNAcentral.